Molecule: ribosomal RNA, 253 nt
Filed under: uncultured bacterium
Lineage: Bacteria
Description: partial 16S ribosomal RNA
Rfam family: Bacterial small subunit ribosomal RNA
Source: RNAcentral
UACGUAGGGGGCAAGCGUUGUCCGGAAUCAUUGGGCGUAAAGCGCGUGUAGGCGGUUCGGUAAGUCGGCUGUGAAAGUCCAGGGCUCAACCCUGGGAUGCCGGUCGAUACUGCCGGGCUAGAGUUCGGAAGAGGCGAGUGGAAUUCCCGGUGUAGCGGUGAAAUGCGCAGAUAUCGGGAGGAACACCAAUGGCGAAGGCAGCUCGCUGGGACGUUACUGACGCUGAGACGCGAAAGCGUGGGGAGCAAACAGG